RNAcentral lists this ribosomal RNA (839 nucleotides) under uncultured eukaryote. RNAcentral's name for it is "SSU rRNA". It matches the Rfam family "Eukaryotic small subunit ribosomal RNA", at positions 635 to 1426 of the family's 1831-position model. The record is from RNAcentral.
CGGUGUUCAACUGGCGUGCCCGCGGGACGUCCUGCCGGUGAGCUCAGCCCGCGAGGGCGGCUCAACUUGAAAUCCCAUCGCGGUGCUCUUCAUUGAGUGUCGAGGUGGGCCGGCACGAUUACUUUUGAACAAAUUAGAGUGCUUAAAGCAGGCUAAAAUUUUGCCUGAAUACUGUGUAUAUGGAAUAAUGGAAUAGGACCUCGGUUCUAUUUUGUUGGUUUUCGGAACCCCGAGGUAAUGAUUAAUAGGAACGGAUGGGGGCAUUCGUAUUGCGACGUUAGAGGUGAAAUUCUUGGAUCGUCGCAAGACGGACUAAAGCGAAAGCAUUUGCCAAAAACGCUUUCAUUGAUCAAGAGCGAAAGUUAGAGGUUCGAAGGCGAUCAGAUACCGCCCUAGUUCUAACCAUAAACUAUGCCAGCUAGCGAUCCGCCGACGUCCCUCUGAUGACUCGGCGGGCAGCUUCCGGGAAACCAAAGCUUUUGGGUUCCGGGGGAAGUAUGGUUGCAAAGCUGAAACUUAAAGGAAUUGACGGAAGGGCACCACCAGGAGUGGAGCCUGCGGCUUAAUUUGACUCAACACGGGAAACCUCACCAGGCCCAGACACUGGAAGGAUUGACAGAUUGAGAGCUCUUUCUUGAUUCAGUGGGUGGUGGUGCAUGGCCGUUCUUAGUCGGUGGAGCGAUUUGUCAGGUUAAUUCCGAUAACGGACGAGACUCUGACCUGAUAACUAGACGCACUUGCGGCAUCUCAAAGGUCCGCCGGCGGCUGGCUUUGCGCCCGUCGUCGCGCGCGAUUUUUACUGCCGGCGUACAAUAAAUUCUUCUUAGAGGGACAAGUGG